UACGUAGGGUGCGAGCGUUAAUCGGAAUUACUGGGCGUAAAGCGUGCGCAGGCGGUUUGUUAAGACAGGCGUGAAAUCCCCGGGCUCAACCUGGGAACGGCGCUUGUGACUGGCAGGCUAGAGUACGGCAGAGGGGGGUGGAAUUCCACGUGUAGCAGUGAAAUGCGUAGAGAUGUGGAGGAACACCGGUGUGGAGCGGACGGCCAGCCCUGGGACCGAAUACUGACGCUGA
RNAcentral lists this ribosomal RNA (232 nucleotides) under uncultured bacterium. Its description in RNAcentral is "partial 16S ribosomal RNA". It matches the Rfam family "Bacterial small subunit ribosomal RNA", at positions 524 to 749 of the family's 1533-position model. The record is from RNAcentral.